RNAcentral lists this unclassified non-coding RNA (391 nucleotides) under soil metagenome. RNAcentral describes it as "partial contains 5.8S ribosomal RNA, internal transcribed spacer 2, and large subunit ribosomal RNA". The stretch from base 1 to 122 matches the Rfam family "5.8S ribosomal RNA", at positions 35 to 154 of the family's 154-position model. The record is from RNAcentral.
GAUGAAGAACGUAGCGAAAUGCGAUACUUGGUGUGAAUUGCAGAAUCCCGUGAACCAUCGAGUCUUUGAACGCAAGUUUCGCCCGAAGCCAUUAGGCCGAGGGCACGCCUGCCUGGGCGUCACACGUCGUUGCCCCCCCAUCUACUCCUUCGGGAUUGCGGGGGGCGGAUGAUGGCCUCCCGUGCGCCUCGCCGCGCGGUUGGCAUAAAUGCCAAGUCCUCGGCGACGCACGCCACGACAAUCGGUGGUUGCGAAACCUCGGUUGCCCGUCGUGUGCGGUCGUCGCGCAUCGAGGGCUCGAAAAAAUUGCCGGGUUCCGGCUCGGCUUUCAACGCGACCCCAGGUCAGGCGGGGUUACCCGCUGAAUUUAAGCAUAUCAAUAAGCGGAGGA